Long non-coding RNA from Cherax quadricarinatus, 1445 nucleotides. RefSeq lists it as uncharacterized. The record is from RefSeq and is a predicted model, not a curated record. NCBI's taxonomy places the organism in Eukaryota, Metazoa, Arthropoda, Malacostraca, Decapoda, Parastacidae.
GAGGCGGAGGAUGAGGAGGAGGAGGAAGAGGAGGAGGAGGAGGAGGAGGAAAAGGAGGGGGAGGAGGAUGAGAACUGUUUUGCUGGUGCUUCAGAUCUGUGUGGAAGAGCAGCCGGAGAUGUUGAACUUGCAACGUUGCUCUUUGCUCCCACCCGGGUGUAAAGAGUGCAGGCUGGACGCCGUGAUGGCAGCUGGCUAGCGGCCGCGCCUGCCGCCAUCUCCGGGAACGCACAAUGGCAUCACCGGACUCUUUUAACUCUCAUAUUAAGCAUAUUCUACCCUUAAUUAUUCUUGAUAAUACGCGGAGAUAAUGGCCGAGCGAAGUUACAUCUGUUAAGAAGAUUUUGGUCCUCCAAGAAGGCGAGAUUUAAUGAUUAUACUUGAAGAAAGGUUUUUAACAUGAAGCAACACGGCAACACCAGCGCGCGGGAGAAACCAGUUUGCCGACGCCAUUUUGAAGUCGUGCGCUCGAUACAAGAAAUGAAGAAGAUAACGGCAUAAAGAUACAAGAUAGUGUGGAAAUUAAUUCGUCGGAUUAUCAGGAGGAGUUUGUUAUACAACAGGGAAUGUGUGCGAUAAGGAAGAAGUAUGAGAAGUGGCUUUCACACUUCAAUAUGAUGCUGCCAUCUCCGUGAGAUCAAGCUGUGAAAAGAUGCUGUGAUCAUCGUGAAAUGAAGUUACAAGAUUCUUGAAGAAGGUGUUAUGUCUAACAAACUCUAUGGACUCUUUAGACUUUGUUACAGUGCUGGCAGUCUCUGAAACCUGAGAAAAAUAAAUUAUAAAUAAUAUUUAUUACUAUUGACUGCGUAUAAAUUGAUGAUCAUCACAUCUGAUUCCAUAUCCACACGGUCAUCACAUCACGGGACCAUAAUCGCAUAACCCUAAGUAAUGGAAAAUGUGUGGAUCCUCUCCAGCAAGAUAGAGAAUUCGGGUAUGAAGAACUGAUUUCCUGGAUUACUUACCGGGUCCGAGCUAUUGAGUUCCAGCGACCGUAGUGCUCUGGAGGGCGCCGUGGGCGAAUGGACGGCAUGGGCUAGCUGGCAGAGAGGAUUGGAAAUGCCGAUUACUUCCAGCUUGUGCAGGCAGCGAAACUCAACAGGCACCAACGGAUUAAAUCAAGCACCAGCAGCUUCCCUCAGAUAUCCGCAGCUACACUCAGGCACCAGCAGCAGGAAUGACACUGUUACGCUAAUAACGAUAUUCGUUCAUCAUAGAUUUGUCCUUCAAGGGAAGGGGAAAUUGUCUUGAUAUCAGUGAAGGGCUAUUGAUCGAAGGAAUUGAACCUACCUCGCCCCUUUCCAUGGAUAAAACCUUAUUAUCUCCUAUUUUCUGUACGACGUGUAAACACCUAUAGGUUCAGGGCUUCUCCAUAAAUAAAAUAAUAAGUUAACGAAGAGAAAAUUGUCCCGUUUCCCAAUGAAUAAAACAACCCACUGUUAGAUAUC